This 389-nucleotide long non-coding RNA is filed under the name Mus musculus (house mouse). RNAcentral's name for it is "predicted gene, 47815". The record is from RNAcentral. Lineage: Eukaryota; Metazoa; Chordata; Mammalia; Rodentia; Muridae.
AAGAGCUCCCAGUUGCCAGCUGACAAGCACUGUGGUACCUGCCAUCUCUGAAGCCAGAAUCACAGCCCAGACUCCAGGAAGCAGUGCCAAGGUUUGACAUCAGCAGCAAAGCAUGAAGGGCCAGCUGGAGGAGCACCCGUGUUCCCAGGAACGAAUGAUAACAGAGCAGAGUGUGUGGUGUUGGGCCUGUCCCAGGAAUUCCAGGUGGCCAUACACAUGAUCCUUUAAGUUAUUGACCAUUUCCUGUUGUGCAACCAAUUGUCCCUGAUUGCCUGAAAAGAAUCAGGACACAUCUCUGACAAUGUUUGUUCCACAGUGGGAGGGAGGCGAGGCGGGCAGGGAAGAGUUGCUGGUGAUUUCCAGUGACAUCAGAAAGAACCUUUAAACCA